Molecule: transfer RNA, 73 nt
Filed under: Sus scrofa (pig)
Lineage: Eukaryota; Metazoa; Chordata; Mammalia; Artiodactyla; Suidae
Rfam family: tRNA
About the family: Transfer RNA (tRNA) molecules are approximately 80 nucleotides in length. Their secondary structure includes four short double-helical elements and three loops (D, anti-codon, and T loops). Further hydrogen bonds mediate the characteristic L-shaped molecular structure. tRNAs have two regions of fundamental functional importance: the anti-codon, which is responsible for specific mRNA codon recognition, and the 3' end, to which the tRNAs corresponding amino acid is attached (by aminoacyl-tRNA synthetases). tRNAs cope with the degeneracy of the genetic code in two manners: having more than one tRNA (with a specific anti-codon) for a particular amino acid; and 'wobble' base-pairing, i.e. permitting non-standard base-pairing at the 3rd anti-codon position.
Source: Rfam by way of RNAcentral
UCCUUGGUGGCCUAAUGGUUAAGAAUCCAGCAUUGUCACUGCUGUGGCUCAGGUUCCAUCCCUGGCCCAGGAA